RNAcentral lists this ribosomal RNA (490 nucleotides) under uncultured bacterium. Its description in RNAcentral is "partial 16S ribosomal RNA". It matches the Rfam family "Bacterial small subunit ribosomal RNA", at positions 28 to 507 of the family's 1533-position model. The record is from RNAcentral.
GAUGAACGCUCGCUCCAGGCUUAACACAUGCAAGUCGCGGGGCAGCAUGGGGGUUGCUUGCAAUCCCCGAUGGCGACCGGCGCACGGGUGAGUAACGCGUAUCCAACCUGCCCUUCACCACGGGAUAACCCGGCGAAAGUCGGACUAAUACCGUAUGUUGUCCAUUGACGGCAUCCGAUUUGGACGAAAGGUUUGGCGGUGAAGGAUGGGGAUGCGUCCGAUUAGCUGGACGGCGGGGUGACGGCCCGCCGUGGCGACGAUCGGUAGGGGUUCUGAGAGGAAGGUUCCCCACACUGGAACUGAGACACGGUCCAGACUCCUACGGGAGGCAGCAGUGAGGAAUAUGGGUCAAUGGGCGUAAGCCUGAACCAGCCAAGUAGCGUGCAGGAUGACGGCCCUAUGGGUUGUAAACUGCUUUUAUGCGGGGAUAAAGUGGCCCACGUGUGGGUUUUUGCAGGUACCGCAUGAAUAAGGACCGGCUAAUUCCGUG